AAUAGAUGACGCCGUUGACUUUUUCUCACAUGUUUGACCAUUCGUCUUAUUCAAAAAAUUUUGUUAUGAGUUGUUUUAUCACUCAUAGUACUUUAAGUGUGAUUUAUAUCUUAUACAUUUGCAUAAAAUUUUUGAAUAAGACGAAUGGUCAAAUAUGUGAGAAAAAGUCAAUGGCGUCAUCUAUU
Molecule: microRNA precursor, 185 nt
Filed under: Oryza glumipatula
Lineage: Eukaryota; Viridiplantae; Streptophyta; Magnoliopsida; Poales; Poaceae
Description: MIR812 microRNA precursor family
Rfam family: MIR812 microRNA precursor family
Source: Rfam by way of RNAcentral